CGCCCCUUUUAAAAUUGGUUAUUUUUCCAAUUUUCUAAACCCUAAUUCCCCAAAACUUUAGGAAAAUACCUUGAAAUGGCCAAAUAAACCUCUAAGACCAGAAUAACCUAAUAGACCCUAGUUUACCAUCUCCCAUAGUCCAUUUAAACUUCAAUGGUUUCCUAAUCUUCUAGAAAAAAUAUAGGAGAUGUCCCAUAAAGAUCCCAAAAACCCUAAAAAUUAUGUAAAUCCAAGAGGAAUAGGAAGACCUAGAAUUUAGGGAUAUUUGAGCCCAUCCCAGACUUGAAAUGGGAUAAAAAUCAACCCAGAAUGGGUUAAAUCUAAAGAAGAUCGAUCAUUCAAACCGAAAUUCGGAGUAAGAAAUCUGCAGACAACACCGAGGAAGUUGUACAAUUCACAAGGCUCGAUGACGCAUACUGCUUCGUCACCGCAUCGACUUGAAAAACCGCACAUGGCAGAGGUGGGAAAGGGGCUUGAGCCAUGGUGAAAAAAUGGCAUAAGCAUAUGCCCCUCAACCCUAAAUCUUUGUGCAAUCUGCCGGAGCAAAGGAAAGCCUCUCGUUCACAAGGUCAUACUCCACCUCCAUAUUUCGCUGCAUUAAGUUACUAAAGACGGAGAAAGAAUCAGUUGACCUCAUCAUCAAGCAUACCAACUCUGAGUCCAUCUUCAUAAACAAAUUGUUGGGAUCCACUCUCCAAUCAGCCUAACAUCUGGGAUUCCUGCAAUAUCUCUUGAACUAUCAUUACUACUGUAGCAAAGAUCAAAUUCCUUCAAGGGGUCUGGAGUCCAUGACUUAUUGCUAGAGGCCAUCACAUUUUGGACCAGUUGAUUAUAUUCUAUCCGGUCCAAAAAAGUGAGAGGCGAACCGGAGUUGAUGACCAACUUCUUUGUUUUCUCUUGACUUGGAUCGAAAGAUGCCCGGUGGUAUGCCAAUACGCUUGGAGCCGACACUAAUGUCCUCAAGGUUCAAGAGGUGAUAAAUCGGUGUAGACUUCAUACCGGGUGUUUUGAUGUCAGCGCAAUUGCCCAUAAGCAUGACGCCGGCGCCACUUGUCCGUAGGCAAUAUGUGAAUCUCUUGGGUAAGUAGGGACUCAGUUGAGAAACAAGGGAGAGAGGCCCUCCCCCAAAACCCACCAGCGCAGAGCCUAUAACUCCAGGAUUAGAGUCAUGAAUGCUGCAUCCAAAUCCUAUUUUGCCAAUUGCCAGUACAACUUGGCCAUUAGUAAUUCUGGUAUCAAUAUUUCUCUCAAUGCUUGGUGAAAGGUUAUUAUCAGUAUUAUUAUCAAAGGUAAAAUUAUUUUUAAUGUUUUCAAUCCAUUCAAAGGUGAAGGUUUCUUAUUCCAGUAUGCCAUUUGAAAAUGUACCAUCUCGAUACUUAAACCUCAUAAAAGCAAUCAGUAGUGCACGAUGAAUUCAUAUUCUUACAGAGAGUCUCAUUGCAGGCAAUGCUUUGAUAACUCGAAGAUGUGGCGGGGUCAUAAAUGGGGUCGGUACUGUUGGAGCCCGAUUCACCCUGUUCACACUCUAUCCACACCAAGUCACUCCCAGUAUCAAUUAACAAGAAGAAAUCUCUUUUCGUGUUCCCUAUCCCGACCUUGAUGAGGUAGUCAUUGUCGAUGAUCUUGUUCCCCAUGCCGCAAAAUAUCCGACAAGGGCUGAGUGGCAGGCGAUGGAGCGGCGGGCGGCUUGCCUCAUUCGAUCAUGGUCUGUGAGAUUAGGGGUAUAAAAAGGAGAUGAUAAGGAGUCGCGAUGGAUGAGGUUUUGCCUGAGUCCAGUAAUUUUUGUAGCAGAGGACACCUUGAAAAAUGAAGUGGAGGUGACAAUCAAGAGUAGCAUGAGAACAAAAACCCUUUGAGGUGACUGCAAAUCCAUGAUUUCCUAAACCAGUAAAUGAUAAACUUUGUUACUUUUCAAAUGGUAGAAGAAUUUUAUACCCAAGUUGUUCUUAAUAUAGAUUGCCUAUGCGGCUCCUUAUUGAAAGUUUUAAACAUGCAAACUAUGAAAUGGCAGUAUGCUUUUAAUUAUUUU
Amborella trichopoda is the source of this 2029-nucleotide non-coding RNA. NCBI's taxonomy places the organism in Eukaryota, Viridiplantae, Streptophyta, Magnoliopsida, Amborellales, Amborellaceae. The record is from RefSeq and is a predicted model, not a curated record.